This 16-nucleotide small RNA is filed under the name Arabidopsis thaliana (thale cress). RNAcentral describes it as "ATSL130970". The record is from RNAcentral. Lineage: Eukaryota; Viridiplantae; Streptophyta; Magnoliopsida; Brassicales; Brassicaceae.
UUUUUUCUUCUCCUUC